This 59-nucleotide transfer RNA is filed under the name Polytoxus fuscovittatus. RNAcentral's name for it is "tRNA-Ala". The record is from RNAcentral. Lineage: Eukaryota; Metazoa; Arthropoda; Insecta; Hemiptera; Reduviidae.
GGGAUUAUAGUUAAUUAUAACAUCUAAUUUGCAAUUAGAAAGUACUUAUGUUUUUCUCA